GAAAUUCUGCUCAAAACAAGUGGAUCUUUAUUUCCAACUAAGGCCAGAUGGACUCUUAUCAGGAUGGAAAUAACUCUGCAAGGAAUGGUUUCUUCCUCUGCCAACCAGAGUUAUCUCAUUUGAGCUGAGGAAGUCAAAAGCAGAGCCACUUUGUCAGCACAAUCGUCAGCCAGGACGAUGAGCUUGACCAAGAGCAAGAGGAAGACAGAGCUGCAGGAGGCCGGUCUCAUGAAUCCAGUUUGAUCAUAACAAAAUUAUCAGCUAAAUUCCAACAGAGAGACCCUACAAGUUCUCUAACUCCUCAAAGCCAUUAAGGUCAUCAAAAAUAAGGACAAUCUGAGUAUCAACAAUAGCCAAGAAGAACUUAAGGGGCCAUUAAAGACCAAAGUGAAACCAUAUCCUGGACAGAAUCAUGGAGCACAAAAGGAUAUUUGGUCAACACGGAAGCCCUACAGCAUGAGACAGUUUGGGAAAUGUGAACAGCAUCAGCUACUUGUGCAGCAUCCACCUUCCAUUACAACUUUGUCAUUCUCUUCUCCUACCUACUCAUAAAGGAAUGGCUUUGUAGUAAUAGUAAUUGCAAUCCAGUCACACAAAAGGCCACAUCUGGGAGACUAUUACCACGGAGGCCAGGAAGAGGAGCGGUCCCACUGGCCUAUAGGGUUCAGGUGCAGGAUUCCCUCCAGGGCAAUGCUCCUCUGGACCGCAGACUACACCUGCCUGGAACACGCUGGAAGCUUGUCAGAAUCACAGUGAUGCCCUUCUGUUUCCUCGCCAGCCUUUCACCAAGACUUGGGUGAUCGAUGGGCGACACCACGUUGAUCAUUUUAGCCAUGCGUCCAGACCAUUUCACAGGACACAGAAAGAUACAUGUCCUCCAUCAGCACUGAAAGAGACCUCCUCGGAAAGAAUUUGUUUUGUCAUACAAGACAAAUGAAUUCUGGUAACUUAAAGUGAAAAUUUCAUCCCACUGUUAAACUGAACCUCAAAUAAAA
This is a long non-coding RNA of Heterocephalus glaber (naked mole-rat), 995 nucleotides long. RefSeq lists it as uncharacterized. The record is from RefSeq and is a predicted model, not a curated record. Lineage: Eukaryota; Metazoa; Chordata; Mammalia; Rodentia; Bathyergidae.